This 933-nucleotide long non-coding RNA is filed under the name Chrysemys picta bellii (western painted turtle). Its description in RNAcentral is "lncRNA (ENSCPBG00000027752.1)". Lineage: Eukaryota; Metazoa; Chordata; Testudines; Emydidae. The record is from RNAcentral.
AUAUUUUUCCCUAGUUGUACCACAGUGCAGAGUUACUAAUAUGCAUAUUGUUUAUCUCUUCUUUAGAAUUUCUGAUGGAACUGGAGAUUUUGACUAGCUGAUUUGGGAUUCCUAGGGAUUUUAUGGACUUCCUGCGUGAACCAAAACCUGUCCAUUGGGGAUGCAUCUCUGUAUCACAGCUGGUGUUUCUGAACCUUCGUCUGGAGUAGAAAUUCAUCCCUGAUUUUUUUGGCUGGAUUGACUGUUUAGUCUAGGAACUCUCAAGUACACUUUGUAGGUGCUGGAAUUCCUCAUUCUCUUCAGUCAGCAGCUGAUGUGGUAUGGUGUACAUCAGGGUAUAUAUUCUGGAGUGAGCAAAGAUUUAUGCUCUUCCUAACUCCCAUUGAUGCUAAUGAGUAUUACAGACAUGUGUCCCGUGGAGCAAGAUGAGAACAUACCCCAGACUGUGUGUGGAGUUUGCCAUUAGGGCAUCCACACUGCUAAAAACAAUACAGAGAUCCCAAGGCACCUGUAUUAAUUUUUGGUUAUGAGUGACCUCACAGAAGAAUUGAUUUCCAUUUUUGAAGAUGUUUCCAAAGACUGACAACUCUUAUGGCAGCUUUGGAUACAGAAGAAAAAGCAGAUGUGGCAAAGAAUAAGUCAUAAUAAGAAACUGUCAUCCUUUAGAGCAGGGGUUCUCAAAUUGGGGGUCGGGACCCCUCAGGGGGUCGUGAGGUGAUUACAUGGGGGGGUCACGAGCUGUCAGCCUCCACCCCAAACCCCGCUUUGCCUCCAGCGUUUAUAAUGAUGUUAAAUAUAUUUAAAAGUGUUUUUAAUUUAUAAGGGGGGGGGUCACACUUUGAGGCUUGCUAUGUGAAAGGGGUCACCAGUAAAAAAGUUUAAGAGCCAUUGCUUUAGAGGAUCUAAAAAGUACACUAAAAUGUUGCACCCUGG